CAGCCGCCGCGGUAACACAGAGGGUGCGAGCGUUAAUCGGAUUUACUGGGCGUAAAGCGUGCGUAGGCGGCUUCUUAAGUCGGAUGUGAAAUCCCUGAGCUUAACUUAGGAAUUGCAUUCGAUACUGGGAAGCUAGAGUAUGGGAGAGGAUGGUAGAAUUCCAGGUGUAGCGGUGAAAUGCGUAGAGAUCUGGAGGAAUACCGAUGGCGAAGGCAGCCAUCUGGCCUAAUACUGACGCUGAGGUACGAAAGCAUGGGGAGCAAACAGGAUUAGAUACCCCAGUAGUCCCUGUCUCUUAUAC
RNAcentral lists this ribosomal RNA (301 nucleotides) under uncultured bacterium. RNAcentral's name for it is "partial 16S ribosomal RNA". It matches the Rfam family "Bacterial small subunit ribosomal RNA", at positions 509 to 807 of the family's 1533-position model. The record is from RNAcentral.